GAUGAACGCUGGCGGCGUGCCUAAUACAUGCAAGUCGAGCGAACAGACGAGGAGCUUGCUCCUCUGACGUUAGCGGCGGACGGGUGAGUAACACGUGGAUAACCUACCUAUAAGACUGGGAUAACUUCGGGAAACCGGAUCUAAUACCGGAUAAUAUAUUGAACCGCAUGGUUCAAUAGUUAAAGACGGUUUUGCUGUCACUUAUAGAUGGAUCCGCGCCGCAUUAGCUAGUUGGUAAGGUAACGGCUUACCAAGGCGACGAUGCGUAGCCGACCUGAGAGGGUGAUCGGCCACACUGGAACUGAGACACGGUCCAGACUCCUACGGGAGGCAGCAGUAGGGAAUCUUCCGCAAUGGGCGAAAGCCUGACGGAGCAACGCCGCGUGAGUGAUGAAGGUCUUCGGAUCGUAAAACUCUGUUAUUAGGGAAGAACAAAUGUGUAAGUAACUAUGCACGUCUUGACGGUACCUAAUCAGAAAGCCACGGCUAACUACGUG
RNAcentral lists this ribosomal RNA (497 nucleotides) under uncultured bacterium. RNAcentral's name for it is "partial 16S ribosomal RNA". It matches the Rfam family "Bacterial small subunit ribosomal RNA", at positions 28 to 507 of the family's 1533-position model. The record is from RNAcentral.